UGACCUUCGGAUCAGG
RNAcentral lists this ribosomal RNA (16 nucleotides) under Usnea aurantiacoatra. Its description in RNAcentral is "partial 26S ribosomal RNA". Lineage: Eukaryota; Fungi; Ascomycota; Lecanoromycetes; Lecanorales; Parmeliaceae. The record is from RNAcentral.